Long non-coding RNA from Etheostoma cragini (Arkansas darter), 96 nucleotides. RefSeq lists it as uncharacterized. Lineage: Eukaryota; Metazoa; Chordata; Actinopteri; Perciformes; Percidae. The transcript is spliced from 3 exons. The record is from RefSeq and is a predicted model, not a curated record.
AUGCUUAAGCCCAACCAAUCGAGCUGCUCGUAGGGCGAGUCUUGGCGUGGCCAUAGUGGGAUUCGUAAUUUUGCUUCCCGAAAUGCUGUCUGGACU